GACGAACGCUGGCGGCGUGCUUAACACAUGCAAGUCGAGCGGAAAGGCCCUUCGGGGUACUCGAGCGGCGAACGGGUGAGUAACACGUGAGUAACCUUCCCCCGACUUUGGGAUAACCCUCGGAAACGGGGGCUAAUACCGGAUACGACACAGCUUCGCAUGGGGUCUGUGUGGAAAGUUUUUCGGUUUGGGAUGGGCUCGCGGCCUAUCAGCUUGUUGGUGGGGUGAUGGCCUACCAAGGCGACGACGGGUAGCCGGCCUGAGAGGGCGACCGGCCACACUGGGAAUGAGACACGGCCAAGACUCCUACGGGAGGCAGCAGUGGGGAAUAUUGCACAAGGGGCGGAAGCCUGAUGCAGCGACGCCGCGUGAGGGAUGACGGCCUUCGGGUUGUAAACCUCUUUCAGCAGGGACGAAGCGUAAGUGACGGUACCUGCAGAAGAAGCGCCGGCCAACUACGU
This 461-nucleotide ribosomal RNA is filed under the name uncultured bacterium. RNAcentral describes it as "partial 16S ribosomal RNA". It matches the Rfam family "Bacterial small subunit ribosomal RNA", at positions 28 to 506 of the family's 1533-position model. The record is from RNAcentral.